GACGAACGCUGGCGGCGUGCUUAACACAUGCAAGUCGAACGGAAAGGCCUCUUUCGGGGGGUACUCGAGUGGCGAACGGGUGAGUAACACGUGAGUAACCUGCCCUUGACUUUGGGAUAACUUCAGGAAACUGGGGCUAAUACCGGAUAGGAGCUCCUGCUGCAUGGUGGGGGUUGGAAAGUUUCGGCGGUUGGGGAUGGACUCGCGGCUUAUCAGCUUGUUGGUGGGGUAGUGGCUUACCAAGGCUUUGACGGGUAGCCGGCCUGAGAGGGUGACCGGCCACAUUGGGACUGCGAUACGGCCCAGACUCCUACGGGAGGCAGCAGUGGGGAAUAUUGCACAAUGGGUGGAAGCCUGAUGCAGCAACGCCGUGUGCGGGAUGACGGCCUUCGGGUUGUAAACCGCUUUCGCUCAUGACGAAGCUUUGUGUGACGGUAGUGGGUAAAGAAGCACAGGCUAACUCCGUG
Molecule: ribosomal RNA, 467 nt
Filed under: uncultured bacterium
Lineage: Bacteria
Description: partial 16S ribosomal RNA
Rfam family: Bacterial small subunit ribosomal RNA
Source: RNAcentral